RNAcentral lists this long non-coding RNA (459 nucleotides) under Solanum tuberosum (potato). RNAcentral describes it as "long non-coding RNA (STUB_LNC006875)". The record is from RNAcentral. Lineage: Eukaryota; Viridiplantae; Streptophyta; Magnoliopsida; Solanales; Solanaceae.
GCAUAACUAUCAACGGAGGAGCUAUCACACUAGAUCUAUCUCAAAUAAUCAUUUACUACUUUCAUACAUAAGGACAGCUGAGCCCAGUGCACUAAGCUCCCGCUAUGUGCGAGAUCUGGGGAAAGGCCGGACCACAUUGCAUAGGUAUUUAUAGGUUUUCUUCUAGCAUGUACCUAGUCUAUUACAUGCACAUAAUUCAAUUCCGGAUUUUCUUUCAUCUUCUCUAGUUCAUGAACAAACUAAAACAAUAUAUCUAUCAUAACUAAUUUUCUAUAUAUACAUAUCAAAAAUUAAAAAUAAAAUUAUCUUUCCAACACAAAGUUCACUCCUAUACAUACUUAGAAAAUGUCAUUCCAUAGUAAUAAAUUUUUUAGUUAUUGGAUCCUUGUCAUAAUUAACCAUCAUUUGUUAUUUUUAACAGGUUAACCAACAAGCUUGAUCAACCUUAGCAGCCUACCU